Cyprinus carpio (common carp) is the source of this 1837-nucleotide long non-coding RNA. The record is from Ensembl. NCBI's taxonomy places the organism in Eukaryota, Metazoa, Chordata, Actinopteri, Cypriniformes, Cyprinidae.
AUGCAUCUGCAUAAUGAAAGUCAUUUGCAUGCUCAGGGCAGACUUUACCAUGAGAACAGACAUGAAAAGGUGUGCGUGUGUGCGUUUAUGCCCUUCUUCCUUCAUCUUUCCGUUUUCGCUUUCAAACAGACCAAAACAUCCUUGAUGCCAGGGAAAGGAAAGAGUGAAGAAGCAGGGCAGGUUGGUUGUGUGGCUGUCGUCCUGCUGGAGUUGCUGCUCCCCUCCCCUUCGCUGCUCGCUUGCCCCCUUCCUCCCAUCACGAGAUGCAUUUUGCACAAAGCCACCAUCUUAGAGCAUGCGGGCAUUAAAUGGAAGUGGAAAAUAAGCAGGUUUUCAUAGUUAAGUCGAAUGAAGUGACAUCCAUUAAAUGGAGGAUCGGAGCUGAAACGGGCUGAUGGAGUCAAACGGGUCUUUACUAUGCAUGUGCCCCAACAUCAGAUAAAAGACAGCACUUUAAUUGUUCUACAUUACUUCAGUCUUGGCAUUUUUGAUGCAGUUAUAAGGCUGUAUGUUGUGAGUCAAGUGUGUGUGUGUGUGUGUGUGUCUGUGUGGAGAAGAUGAAAGGAAAAAAACGGGUCUGUUUAUACGGGUCAAAGUACUCAACAAAUUGUGUAUUUGUACUAAGGCACUUGUUGGGGAUUCUCCAAGUAAAAAGGAUUUAUUCGGGUAGCUAUAGUGAAUUUAAUGAGGGUUUUCUAGAAAAUGUCAUUUUAAAGGCCAAUCAUUAAGGUACUUUUUGAUAAAAUUUAUUUAAAGAAAUUUAUCACUCUCAGAUCUAGUCUGUCUUGGUACAAUCUUUAGCAUGAUGCACUUUAUAACACACAAACUGAUUUUUUUAGUUCAGUACUUUUCAAUAUUAAAGGAAAAUGUAGUGGCCUGUGUUCGUUCCCUAAUGUACUUAUCUAAUAACUGAUUACUAAUUGAAAUCUAACAUGAAUUAUUAGAAAUGGUGUGUGAGGCUCUGUAGAUUCUGCAUGUAUGAGUGUGAGACCCACGGCAGCGGUGAACGAUACUGCACUCUGAUUGGACAGCUCAGUGUGUUGUGUGUCACACACUUGUUGGACAGAGAGCUGUUGUCUUUAAUUUCUAUGCAAUUGUGUUGGGCUUGUAAUCACCUGGAAGAAAAGGCAGAUCACAGCAGCUAUUUAUGACAGCAGGUUAAACCUGUUUUAAGGUGAAAGGAAUAUUUAGCAGAAUAUAUAUGAAUAUUUCAUUAUUACUAAAACUGGUUUCAACAGCAAACUGUGAAGUCAUUGACUACUAAAAAGCAGCUUCAUCUAGCUUUUUUGUUUUUUCCAUUUUUGUUUCAGCACUCAAAAUAGAAACAAAUUUAAGAGGUAUUAAAUGCUCUGUAAAUGUCUCUCUGUAUUUUGUGUUACAAUCAGUCAUGGCUGAAGAGAAAAUUCAGUUCAAUAUGCAAAUGUUUUACAAAUUUAUUACAAUUUGAAGAGAAUUGUGCAAUCUAUUUUAUAAUUAUUUUUCUUAAAAUAAUUUUUAAUCACAGCAUUAUCCUUUCAGUAAAACUGAGAUAAUGUUUUGUUUUGUUUUUUCUUGCAAAAUUUGACAAAUCAAGUGAAUGUGAAGACAAUGGAUUGAUGAAAUGGGGCCUUUUACUAUGCAAUUGUAGUUUUUUCUGUGAUUUUCAGCUAGUCAUAGUCCUGUAAUGAUAACGAUAAUAACUAAAAUCAUAUUUUCUUUUAACUUUAUUCAUCAUCUAACUGUAGGUUUUUCAUUCCAUGUUCAAUGUGUAUUUUUAUUUCCUCAUUUUUUCUAUUUCCGCAUGUGCCUUUUAACAAUGUCCUGGUAUGAAUAUUAAUAAAAGUUUACUUUGAAAACA